This 460-nucleotide ribosomal RNA is filed under the name uncultured bacterium. RNAcentral describes it as "partial 16S ribosomal RNA". It matches the Rfam family "Bacterial small subunit ribosomal RNA", at positions 338 to 795 of the family's 1533-position model. The record is from RNAcentral.
CCUACGGGUGGCAGCAGUGAGGAAUAUUGGUCAAUGGGCGGAAGCCUGAACCAGCCAAGUAGCGUGCAGGAUGACGGCCCUACGGGUUGUAAACUGCUUUUAUACGGGAAUAACGCGCCUUACGUGUAGGGCUUUGCAUGUACCGUAUGAAUAAGGACCGGCUAAUUCCGUGCCAGCAGCCGCGGUAAUACGGAAGGUCCGGGCGUUAUCCGGCUUUAUUGGGUUUAAAGGGAGCGUAGGCCGCAUUUCAAGCGUGCUGGGAAAUGCCCGGGCCCAACCCGGGCCUGGCAGGGGAAACUGGCGGGCUGGAGUCGGCGGAAAGCAGGCGGAAUGCGUGGUGUAGCGGUGAAAUGCUUAGAUAUGACGAAGAACCCCGAUUGCGAAGGCAGCUUGCUGCAGCGGAAGUGACGCUGAUGCACGAAAGCGCGGGUAUCGAACAGGAUUAGAUACCCGGGUAGUC